GGAGAGGUGACCGAGAGGCCGAAGGUGCACGACUGGAAAUCGUGUGUACCGAGAGGUACCGCGGGUUCGAAUCCCGCCCUCUCCG
Molecule: transfer RNA, 85 nt
Filed under: Deltaproteobacteria bacterium
Lineage: Bacteria; Pseudomonadati; Myxococcota; Myxococcia
Description: tRNA-Ser
Rfam family: tRNA
About the family: Transfer RNA (tRNA) molecules are approximately 80 nucleotides in length. Their secondary structure includes four short double-helical elements and three loops (D, anti-codon, and T loops).
Source: RNAcentral